RNAcentral lists this ribosomal RNA (253 nucleotides) under uncultured bacterium. RNAcentral describes it as "partial 16S ribosomal RNA". It matches the Rfam family "Bacterial small subunit ribosomal RNA", at positions 524 to 776 of the family's 1533-position model. The record is from RNAcentral.
UACAGAGGAGCCAAGCGUUGUCCGGAUUGACUGGGCGUAAAGCGCACGCAGGCGGUUGCGCGCGUGGGGUGUGAAAUCUGGCCGCUUAACGGCCAGGCGCCAUCCCAUACGGCGCGACUGGAGUGAUGCAGAGGUCGAUGGAAUUGCCGGUGUAGUGGUGAAAUGCGUAGAGAUCGGCAGGAACACCCAGGGGGAAACCAGUCGACUGGGCAUCUACUGACGCUGAGGAGCGAAAGCGUGGGGAGCGAACAGG